GGACAUAUGGCCGAGUGGUCUAAGGCGCUAGCUUCAGGUUCUCAUCUUGACUCGCUAGUCUUCGGGCGUGGGUUCGAAUCCCACUGUGUUCA
Puccinia graminis f. sp. tritici is the source of this 92-nucleotide transfer RNA. It matches the Rfam family "tRNA". From Rfam's summary of the family: Transfer RNA (tRNA) molecules are approximately 80 nucleotides in length. Their secondary structure includes four short double-helical elements and three loops (D, anti-codon, and T loops). NCBI's taxonomy places the organism in Eukaryota, Fungi, Basidiomycota, Pucciniomycetes, Pucciniales, Pucciniaceae. The record is from Rfam.